GCCAUGCAUGUCUAAGUACAAACUACUUUCACAGUGAAACCGCGAAUGGCUCAUUAAAUCAGUUAUUGUUUAUUUGAUAGUACCUUUUACAUGGAUAACCGUGGUAAUUCUAGGGCUAAUACAUGCAACCAAGCCUCUAGCUCGCGUUGGGGGCGCUUUUAUUAGAUCAAGACCAAACCGGCAGCAAUGUCGGCCCCUUUGGUGACUCUGGAUAACUUUUGCUAAUCGCACGAUCUCGCAUCGGCGAUGUGUCAUUCAAAUUUCUGCCUUAUCAACUUUCGAUGGUACGUUAUACGCCUACCAUGGUUGUUACGGGUAACGGGGAAUCAGGGUUCGAUUCCGGAGAGGGAGCCUGAGAAACGGCUACCACAUCCAAGGAAGGCAGCAGGCGCGCAAAUUACCCACUCCCGGCUCGGGGAGGUAGUGACGAAAAAUAACAAUACAGGUCUCUUUCGAGGUCCUGUAAUUGGAAUGAGUACACUCUAAACCUUUUAACGAGGAUCUAUUGGAGGGCAAGUCUGGUGCCAGCAGCCGCGGUAAUUCCAGCUCCAAUAGCGUAUAUUAAAGUUGUUGCAGUUAAAAAGCUCGUAGUUGGAUCUUGGGCUGUGGGCGAACGCUACUCGUCGCGAGACGGUCGUGGUUGCACGUGGCCUAUCUCUCCGGUAGCGCGGGUGGGCUUAACUGUCCGUCCGUUCGUGGCCGGGGACGUUUACUUUGAAGAAAUUAGAGUGUUCAAAGCAGGCAGUUCUCGCCUGAAUAAUGGUGCAUGGAAUAAUGGAAUAGGGCCUCGGUCUUAUUCUUUUGGUCUUCGAGACCCGAGGUAAUGAUUAAGAGGGACGGCCGGGGGCGUUCGUAUUGCGCUGUGAGAGGUGAAAUUCUUGGAUCGGCGCAAGACGAACUACAGCGAAAGCAUUCGCCAAGAAUGUUUUCAUUAAUCAAGAACGAAAGUUGGAGGUUCGAAGACGAUCAGAUACCGUCGUAGUUCCAACUGUAAACGAUGCCGACUAGCGAUCAGGGGGUGUUCCUUGCUUGACUCCCCUGGCAGCUUCCGGGAAACCAAAGCUUUUGGGUUCCGGGGGAAGUAUGGUUGCAAAGCUGAAACUUAAAGGAAUUGACGGAAGGGCACCACCAGGAGUGGAGCCUGCGGCUUAAUUUGACUCAACACGGGAAAACUCACCCGGCCCGGACACCGCUAGGAUUGACAGAUUGAGAGCUCUUUCUUGAUUCGGUGGGUGGUGGUGCAUGGCCGUUCUUAGUUGGUGGAGCGAUUUGUCUGGUUAAUUCCGAUAACGAACGAGACUCUGGCUUGCUAAAUAGUGUGGUCUCACGCGUGAGACUCCUACACUUCUUAGAGGGACAAGUGGCGUUCAGCCACACGAGAUUGAGCAAUAACAGGUCUGUGAUGCCCUUAGAUGUUCGGGGCCGCACGCGCGCUACACUGAGGAGGUCAACGAGCGUUUUCUUUCCUUCCCCGACAGGGGCGGGUAACCUCUUGAAACCUUCUCGUGAUAGGGAUAGAGGAUUGUAAUUAUUUCUCUUGAACGAGGAAUUCCUAGUAAGCGCAAGUCAUAAGCUUGCGUUGAUUACGUCCCUGCCCUUUGUACACACCGCCCGUCGCUACUACCGAUUGAAUGGUUUAGUGAGGUCCUCGGACCGCACCGCGCAUGGCGUCAGCCUAGCGUGUGUCGUGGGAAGAUGAUCAAACUUGAUCGUUUAGAGGAAGUAAAAGUCGUAACAAGGUUU
Molecule: ribosomal RNA, 1743 nt
Filed under: Protodrilus ciliatus
Lineage: Eukaryota; Metazoa; Annelida; Polychaeta; Protodrilidae
Description: SSU rRNA
Rfam family: Eukaryotic small subunit ribosomal RNA
Source: RNAcentral